RNAcentral lists this ribosomal RNA (913 nucleotides) under Erwinia oleae. RNAcentral describes it as "bacterial LSU rRNA". It matches the Rfam family "Bacterial large subunit ribosomal RNA", at positions 1 to 961 of the family's 2925-position model. The record is from RNAcentral. Lineage: Bacteria; Pseudomonadati; Pseudomonadota; Gammaproteobacteria; Enterobacterales; Erwiniaceae.
AGCGACUAAGCGUACACGGUGGAUGCCCUGGCAGUCAGAGGCGAUGAAGGGCGUGCUAAUCUGCGAUAAGCGUCGGUAAGGUGAUAUGAACCGUUAUACCCGACGAUACCCGAAUGGGGAAACCCGGUGCAAUCCGUUGCAUCAUCGCAACAUGAAUACAUAGUGUUGCGAGGCGAACCGGGGGAACUGAAACAUCUAAGUACCCCGAGGAAAAGAAAUCAACCGAGAUUCCCCCAGUAGCGGCGAGCGAACGGGGAGGAGCCCGGAACCAUCAUCAGCGGUUGCGUCAGUGGAAGCGUCUGGAAAGUCGCACGAUACAGGGUGAAAGUCCCGUACACGAAGAUACAGCCGUUGUGAGUUCGAAGAGUAGGGCGGGACACGUGGUAUCCUGUCUGAAUAUGGGGGGACCAUCCUCCAAGGCUAAAUACUCCUGACUGACCGAUAGUGAACCAGUACCGUGAGGGAAAGGCGAAAAGAACCCCGGCGAGGGGAGUGAAACAGAACCUGAAACCGUGUACGUACAAGCAGUGGGAGCCUCAUUUAUGGGGUGACUGCGUACCUUUUGUAUAAUGGGUCAGCGACUUGUAUUCUGUAGCAAGGUUAACCGAAUAGGGGAGCCGAAGGGAAACCGAGUCUUAACCGGGCGUUAAGUUGCAGGGUACAGACCCGAAACCCGGUGAUCUAGCCAUGGGCAGGUUGAAGGUUGGGUAACACUAACUGGAGGACCGAACCGACUGAUGUUGAAAAAUCAGCGGAUGACCUGUGGCUGGGGGUGAAAGGCCAAUCAAACCGGGAGAUAGCUGGUUCUCCCCGAAAGCUAUUUAGGUAGCGCCUCGUGAAYUCAUCUCCGGGGGUAGAGCACUGUUUCGGCUAGGGGGCCAUCCCGGCUUACCAACCCGAUGCAAACUGCGAA